RNAcentral lists this ribosomal RNA (465 nucleotides) under uncultured bacterium. Its description in RNAcentral is "partial 16S ribosomal RNA". It matches the Rfam family "Bacterial small subunit ribosomal RNA", at positions 338 to 795 of the family's 1533-position model. The record is from RNAcentral.
CCUACGGGAUGCAGCAGUGGGGAAUAUUGCGCAAUGGGCGAAAGCCUGACGCAGCGACGCCGCGUGAGGGAUGAAGGUCUUCGGAUCGUAAACCUCUGUCAGCAGGGAAGAACGGUCACUGUGCUAAUCAGCAGUGAAUUGACGGUACCUGCAAAGGAAGCAACGGCUAAUUCCGUGCCAGCAGCCGCGGUAAUACGGAGGGUGCGAGCGUUAAUCGGAAUUACUGGGCGUAAAGCGCUCGUAGGCGGUAUGGCAAGUCAAGGGGUAAAUCCCCGCGCUCAACGUGGGAACUGCUUUUGAAACUGGCAAACUGGAGUGUGUGAGAGGAUAGUGGAAUUCCAGGUGUAGGAGUGAAAUCCGUAGAUAUCUGGAGGAACAUCAGUGGCGAAGGCGACUAUCUGGCACAUAACUGACGCUGAGGAGCGAAAGCGUGGGUAGCAAACAGGAUUAGAUACCCGUGUAGUC